This 22-nucleotide microRNA is filed under the name Branchiostoma floridae (Florida lancelet). RNAcentral describes it as "bfl-miR-4893". Lineage: Eukaryota; Metazoa; Chordata; Leptocardii; Amphioxiformes; Branchiostomatidae. The record is from miRBase by way of RNAcentral.
UGUCCCUAAUCGGCCGGCUGAC